GGGUGAGUAACGCGUGGGAAUCUACCCGGUUCUUCGGAAUAACCCAGGGAAACUUGGGCUAAUACCGGAUACGCCCUUAGGGGGAAAGAUUUAUCGGAAUUGGAUGAGCCCGCGUCGGAUUAGCUAGUUGGUGGGGUAAUGGCCUACCAAGGCGACGAUCCGUAGCUGGUCUGAGAGGAUGAUCAGCCACACUGGGACUGAGACACGGCCCAGACUCCUACGGGAGGCAGCAGUGGGGAAUAUUGGACAAUGGGCGCAAGCCUGAUCCAGCCAUGCCGCGUGAGUGAUGAAGGCCUUAGGGUUGUAAAGCUCUUUCAGCGGGGAAGAUAAUGACGGUACCCGCAGAAGAAGCCCCGGCUAACUUCGUGCC
RNAcentral lists this ribosomal RNA (370 nucleotides) under uncultured bacterium. RNAcentral's name for it is "bacterial SSU rRNA". It matches the Rfam family "Bacterial small subunit ribosomal RNA", at positions 104 to 509 of the family's 1533-position model. The record is from RNAcentral.